RNAcentral lists this long non-coding RNA (6145 nucleotides) under Zea mays. RNAcentral's name for it is "long non-coding RNA (ZMAY_LNC000568)". Lineage: Eukaryota; Viridiplantae; Streptophyta; Magnoliopsida; Poales; Poaceae. The record is from RNAcentral.
AACAAUGUUAUUAUGGCUGCAGAUAAAAUACGAUAUGUAAGCUAGAUCACACAACAUUGUAGCUAGCCACUAUACAAAUAAUUAACUACUAGACAUAUAUACCCCCAUCGAUCAUGCUAACUAGCUAGUUCCAUUAGAUUUAUUUAUCACUAGAGUUGCCAUUAUAUUGUAUAGGUCUCGAGGAACAUCGAUCUGGUCUACGGUGGGGGAAGUGUCGGGCUAAUGGGCCUGGUCUCUCGAGCGGUCUACAAUGGAGGGAGGCACGUCAUGGGGUAUGUAAACAGCAAUGAUGGCCACUCUUCAGCACUAGCUAGCAGCAGUCACACACAUGAAAAGAAUAGCCCGAGAAACUCUGCAAAAUCAUGACAAAAAAAAAGAGAGUUGGGUUGGUCGCAUCCUCAUCAGGUGCUAAAUUGCUAUACAAUUUCCCACCAUAUCUCAUUGUCGAUCCCUUGUAUAUAUGUGCAGGGUGAUUCCCAAGACCCUCAUGCCGAGAGAGGUACUGUAUGUAACCACGCUCUCACGCCUCCCUAAAACCCCUGUCAUUGUUUAAUCGCAUGCAAUGAUUCCCAUGAAUUCGACAAAGCAUGGUAGAUCAGAUUCUUUAAUUUGUUUUUUUCCUAGUACUUGUAUGUUAUGUUUAGUUUUACAAUGCAAGUAGUUUUUUUUUAUAUUUACAUGUGAAAAUAGAUUUUCUUUCUUUCUCUGAAAUGAAAAUAAGGAUGCAGGCUUAAUUAUCUUCUCUGGACUGAAAGACCACGCUGAAUGUUCAGUGAAAAUCCGGGUUUCCUUUUCCCCUGGUGAUAGAUGAGAUCUUGUGGCAUCUUGCUGAUCCUGACUGCUGCUUGCCUGCUUCUAGUGUCUGCCCCUUCGUCCUUUAAGCAGAUAAUGACUUUUGUUAACAAAAAUAGAUGUCCCUCACAUUUCCCUUUUUGUCCCCCACAACAACACCAUGAUUACUUCUCCUGAACAAUGCAUGCACACCUAGGGUAAAAUAAAAUACUCUCAGUACAGCCACCCACCCUUAGGCUAUGGAGUGUGUUGAUUACAUUACAGGCAUGCAGCAUCCGUGUUUGCUUGUGUGUGCAGAUAACAGGUGAGACGGUUGGGGAGGUGAAGGCUGUGGCAGGUAUGCAUCAGAGGAAAGCUGAGAUGGCCAGGCAAUCUGACGCCUUCAUAGCACUUCCUGGUAGUGACUUCUUUUUACUACCAUGCUGAUUGAGCCGACAUGUUUGUAGAUGUGGUUCACUUUUUACUGUCGCUUUCGCUAACGAACCUGGCCAUGUCACAUAUAUAUACUGGAUCCAUGCGUAGUGGCAACAUGGGUGGAAAGUUGUAAACCUCCCAAAUUGGUUUGUCCGGUUGGUUGGUUGGUUGGUGCCAUGAGGUUUCUCUCAUCUUUUGAAAAUCCUCAGGACCCUUUCGUCUAGCUCAAUUUGCUCAGCGAAGGCCUUAUUAUUUCUGUCACAGAAAGUAAACUGUUCCUUCGAUGACACAGGAGGGUAUGGAACCCUUGAGGAGCUGCUGGAAGUGAUCACCUGGGCGCAGCUUGGCAUUCACGACAAGCCGGUACGUACGUACUGGUUCUUCAUGGCCUGCAACUCAUUUUACUGAAUAUUCAUCUCGUAUUGGGUGUGCAACAGGUUGGCCUGCUAAACGUGAACGGAUACUACAACUCCCUGCUGUCCUUCAUCGACAAGGCCGUAGAGGAAGAGUUCAUCAGCCCGACUGCUCGCCACAUCGUCGUCCUGGCACCGACGCCAAAGGAACUGCUUGACAAGCUAGAGGUAGUCUCAUCUGCUGACAAAAAACGUGUGCAGCGAGGAAAGGAAACUCGAUCUGUGAGUGUGUGACGAGUGGCACUGGAAGCUGACGUCUGGUUUCCUGGAUCCGCAGGAGUAUUCCCCGCGGCACGAGAAGCUAGGUCGUGCCGAAGACGAGGUGGGAGACGGAGCAGCUGAUGAGCAACUGCAAGAGCUGCGAGGUCCCGCCGGGGCUCAAGCUCAAAGAUGGGAAGCCGAUCGUCCAGGCGCAGAGAGCUAGGAACCAUGCUCUGAAUUAGUGCCAGUAGCACGCGCCUAAUGUCGGGAUAUCGACUGGUCAAUGUAAUCUGGUAUUGGCUAUGUAUCAGCUGUAUUUAUUCUAGGAGAUGAGAUUUUUAUGUGCGUUAUGCAAUUCGAGUUUCUAGUAGCAGAUGCAAAUGAGGAGGUGUUACUGGACUAUCAUUAGUGUGUGCACUGAGCGGGCUGGCAGUCGAUAACCGCGUGCAGCGCUGACUCCUGAGGCAGAUCAGAAAGUUUUCAGAAGCAAAAUGUUUCGGCCCGGCCCGGCCCAUUUCAGCUGUGGGAUCGUCGGUACAGGCACGCACAAGAAAAGAGUGAGACCGAAGGCUCACCGAACCGUGGCGGGGAUAGCUGUUGGCGAGCCAUUGCCUUCGCUUGCAUCCCCAGGAACUCCCCCUCGCUUUAUUCACAACCACAACCACCUCCCAACUAACCUUGUGCUCCAAGUGAGCAGAAAAAACGAGGGGCCGAAAACCUCCUCCUUGUGUUUUGUUUGCCAAUUAUUGGAGCCUACAGAUGAACGAACACUUUUCUUUUUUUUUUAGCGUGGCUUAUUUGUAUUCGGAGUGGCUUUAGGUCGCGAUGGUUCUCUCGUGAUGCAGUCUGGCUGGGUUGACUGUUGCCCGGUUCAGCUGAAAAUGCAUGGGUUGCUGCUGAAAACCCAUGUGUCUGGAUAUGGUGGGAUGUCUGUCCCUGUGGUCUGGAAACUACCAGGUGACCCAGAACUGAUGGCCCCAACUCGUGUCAAGUCCGUCAAGGCUCUGUUCCGGCAAAGUGAUCGGAAAGAAAUAUGCUGCGGUGGUUCUGUUCCAGCACAAGGAACCAAGAGCGGUGGCAAGAGGUGACCAGAAACAAGUGUCAGAUCAGGGCAAGAUUAAAAAAAAAAUUUGGACCGCAAAAGGUCACAGGAGGUGGAGACAUCCCCAUGAAUUCCUUGAUCCUUUUGCAAGGGAAUUCGGAAGAAGAAGAAAAAAACUGAAACAUGGCACGCAUAAUUAUCGGUCUGACUGACGACGAUGUGUCGGUAUGUUAAGCCAUCCAACGUAAGUCUUCUUAGCUCUAAGGUUCAUCGGCCCGCACAUCACGGGGUAACAACAGGCGGCUGGUAAUUAGAGAUACUAUUUGACUAUCCACAACAAGACACGUACAGCCAGUGACUAGCGGUGAGUAUGCCAGUCACACACGCACACCAGCGACCUGUUCGAAGGUAGCCUACCCCCUCCGUAGUAGAGUAUGCUUGCUAAUUAACGUCGCGGUCCGUUCGUCUUUCCGGCACCAACUCUCUCUCUUUCUCUCACUGUUCAUCCUAGCGUCGUUUUCUAUGCUUGCCAAGGACCGAAGCAUCCACCUCUGCAGCCUGCACCUCCCCACCCUGUAAAACUCUCAACAUAAAAGUGCGUCGCCCUGCCCUUUCUUCCUCUUCCAAGGAGAACAACCACCGCCUCUCUCCCCCGUCUAUCUCUUCUUGGAGCCUGGAGAAGAGGAAGGAUCAGGGAACGGGGGAAGAGGUUGCUGCCACAGCUCAGGUCUCAAGUAAGCGCCAAUUCAUUCGGACUGUCGUCUGAUCUGAUCUUUUUUUUAUCUAUCAAUGCUGUUUGCUUCCCACUUCCCAUGUCUAGUCGGCUCUAGAGGCUGUAUCUGGCUUCGAACUGUUGUGUUCGUUUCUUCAUUAUAUGCUCUUUUCAAUUAUGACAGUGUAGCUCAUAAACAUAACUGUUGACAAGCCUGCACAAUAUCAAAAUAUACUUCUUGUCCGGAUAGAUUCAGAGAAGCGAUUAUUAUGAUUACAGGAGCUACUCAUACGAACAGUGAAAUGUGUGUGUUAACUGUUUUGCAUCGUCAUAAUCUGAAGCCACCCGAACAGCAUAGUACAUCCUUCCCAUUUCCCCCUGAUUCGUUAUGCUCUCUCUCUCUCUCUCUCUCUCUCUCUAUCUCUCUAUAUAUAAGAUUUAUUUUCACGGUCUUGCUUAUACUGCUAUUAGCACGGUAGGAGUUUGAAAGUUCUGUCAAUUAACACAAUAGACAUUUGAAAGUUACCUGGCCCGGUAGGCUAUUAGCAUGUACCUUCCUUCAUCCCAUAUGCUAUGGGCCAAACUGCCUACGUGAACAAGAUGCACACGAAAGCUACAAGUCAGGAAUCCCAGAGCAUCGGGUUAGCGCAGAUGAGCAUUAACGAUUCUGGUCGUCGUUUAACGGUUGGCUAUUAUUUCGGCUGCAAAUUAAACCUUAUACCGCGUCUGAUGAUGUCCAUGAAAUAGUUGAGUAGAGCUGCCUUUACGGCAAUCCGAAGCUAUGUUGGAUGCAACUAGCCUUUCAGCACGUACAUCUGCAGCAUGUGUGCAUGACCUCCCUUCUGGCUGCUUUUAAGCUUUCGCGUAUCGAUAGGUUUUUUUUAAAAAAAAUAUUAAAAAACAUAAAUUGAUCUGGGUUGCGAGUCCCCAUCAAUUUAGUUGGCAACAGAAUGAAAUAAGAACCAAUCUAAAGAGAGCAUAGUCUUAUGUCAUGGAGAUUGUUGCAUUAGGAUUUUCCAUCCAUUUCCACCACAGCAAAAUGUCAGUUUCAACAAAUUUCCUUCUCAACCACUUGGGUCUUACCAACCAUGCAAAGCUACUUCUUAAGCAACAUGUUAUAACCACCAAACACAUGAAGCGUGCGGUGGAUUGUGAUAAAUAAUCUGCUGCUCUCACCUGUUUGUGGCAGCGGGCAGCACCCAUAGUGACUGCUCCCUCUCCUCUUGUUCAUAGGACACUAGAGUAUGCCUAUUGCAAUAGUAGGUAGAAUAGCACCAGGUAUCACUUUGCCCAGUAUGCGUUUGGAACAGAUUAUACUGAUUCAGGUGAGAAACGGAACUGAUUCCAGCUGCCAAACACACCCUAAUCAAUAAUAGGCAUGUUGGGUUACUACUUACUAGCCUUAGUUGCUUUAUGUGAUUCGUUUGUGAUGACCGACAUGUGUCAUGAUUAGCCUUGAUUGGUGUGAGCAUAUUAUAUGUGGCAAGCCAACAAGUGCCAGGCUUACGUUUUUUGUGAUGUCUAUGUGACGCAUAUCCACCAGAUUGAACAAAUGGAAUCUCUUCUUCCUAUAACCAGCAAUAAAGGAGAUUCAAGGAUACCAUCUACGAAGUGUUCUUGUCCAUGAAUUGGGCUUGGGCCAGCUAAGAUUAUGGCCACCCCUUGCAUUCUACAAAUAAAAUCAUGGGUUCUGGCAACAAGGAUGCUAUAGUCAAACAAAUGCUAACUACCACCCAGCCCGUUCUGUGCUCAAGUGAGUUAGGGCACCAAUGGUUCAAUACUACUAAUUCAUAACAACAAAUGGACAGCAUUACUUUAACAAAAGACUAUGGUAGUACAACAGCAAUAAGUUCAGGCCAAACAUACACAGGGAACGAACUCGAUAUGCUUUUAUUUUCUCAAGUUUAGUAUGCAUACCUUAGACUACUCUUUACAGGUUUGGAUUCAGACAAGUAGACAAACACCAGUUGGUUAAGAUGGCAGCUGGUUUCCAGAUCGGUGUGAUCGGGUCACUUGCACUCUCUGUUGCAUCUUCAGUUUCCAUUGUCCUCUGCAACAAAGCUCUCAUCAGCACACUUGGUUUUCCAUUCGGUUAGUACAACAUACUUUGUUUUUCCAUGCAUCGAUGGAAUAACAAAACAUCAUGGAUGCACCAAAUUUGCAUACUACCAGAGUGUGAUGUCGACUUGCCUUGUUUACGAACCAAUGCAGCUACAACAUUAACAAGCUGGCAUCUGAUGGUGACCUUCUGCACCCUCCAUGUGGCACAGCGCUUACGUUUCUUCGAGCCCAAGGCAAUUGAUGGACAGACAGUCAUACUCUUUGGGUUGCUGAAUGGCACGUCAAUUGGUCUUCUCAAUCUGAGUUUAGGAUUCAACUCCAUUGGAUUCUACCAGGUAAGUUCGUCUAGGUACCAUUUUUAUAUAAAACAUGAGCAGAUACAUUAAACUAAGCUCUACAGAUGACAAAAUUGGCGAUCAUACCUUUCACUGUGCUAUUGGAGACUAUCUUCUUGAAGAAAAGAUUCAGGUUUGAGAGCAGUUUUCUCACAAUAUUGAACCUCAUUUAUGG